This 775-nucleotide ribosomal RNA is filed under the name uncultured Neocallimastigales. RNAcentral's name for it is "partial large subunit ribosomal RNA". It matches the Rfam family "Eukaryotic large subunit ribosomal RNA", at positions 22 to 628 of the family's 3401-position model. Lineage: Eukaryota; Fungi; Neocallimastigomycota; Neocallimastigomycetes; Neocallimastigales. The record is from RNAcentral.
GUACACGCUGUGACUAGCAUAUCAAUAAGCGGAGGAAAAGAAACUAACAAGGAUUCCCCUAGUAACGGCGAGUGAAGCGGGAAGAGCUCAAAUUUGAAAUCUUAAAGGGUUUCCCUUUACGAAUUGUAGUUUAAAGAAGUGUUUUCUGUUGAGGUUUUGGUAAAAGUUCUUUGGAAUAGGACUAUUAUAGAGGGUGAGAAUCCCGUAUUUGACCUUUACUUUCAACUUUGUGAUACACUUUCAAAGAGUCGGAUUGUUUGGGAAUGCAGUCCAAAAUGGGUGGUAAAUUUCAUCUAAAGCUAAAUAUUGGCGAGAGACCGAUAGCGAACAAGUACCGUGAGGGAAAGAUGAAAAGAACUUUGAAAAGAGAGUUAAACAGUACGUGAAAUUGUCAAAAGGGAAGCGUUUGACACCAGUGUUGUUUUUCUGAAAAUCAAUUAAAGAACUGUUUAUGCUAAGCUGUUUAGACUUUAUCAGCUAUCUGUUUAGUUUUGAGCUUUUCUUUAAUGCACUUAUCAGUUAACAAGUCAACAUCAAUUUCUUUUGCUGUAAAAAAGCUUGAGGAAGGUGGCUUGAGAUUCGUCUUAAGUGUUUAUAGCCUCUUGCCUAUGCAGUCGGAGAGAUUGAGGUCUGCAGCGUAGAUCCUUCGGGGCUAAAUGCAUUUGUGCUAAGUUAUAGCAUUUUAUAGACAACUUGUUGACUAUGAUUUGUCUUGUAGCUUACUCGCUUAUGUUAUUUUACCUACGCUUAGGAUGUUGAGUCGUAGAGCACGCAG